AAAAAACCCCAUCACGUUCGGCACCUGGAGUGUUUGCUGUACUUUCUGUUACGUGUGCCAGCGCCUCUGUUUAACUGAGUUGACGAUGAAAGUAUUGAACAAGCAAAGAAUUGCUCAACUCCCUCGGUAGCCCUUCUAGAUUUCCCAUCAAGUUAAGAGGACGCAUCACGUUCAGUUUUGUCCUCUCAGGGUCUUACAUGCAUGUUCUAUCUUAGACCAACGGACACACAUCUUAAAGAUUAAACUCAUGUCCUCAUGAUUCAUGUAACGCAAAGAUGGCUUCCUCUGAUAUUAACACAUACUGGAAUAUUCUUCCAUGGCGUUAACAUUUUAGAGAACUUGCAGUGAAAGCUUUUCAUCUUUAACUUCCGCAGAUUGAAGAUGCCGCUUGCCCUGAAGGCUUUGGCCAAAGGACAGAUUACAAAACAAGAUACUGGCAACUAGUCAUUUUCUCCUCUCAAAAAGUUUAUCAAGGGCCUGCCGGUGGUGCAGCAGGAGAUUAGGACACAGACACAGAGGGAAGACCUCAUGAGGACACAAAGAGAAGACAGCCAUCUACAAGUCAAGGAGAGAGGCCUCAGAAGAAAUGCUGCCAACACCUUGAUCUCAGACUUCUAGCCUCCAGAACUGUGUGGAAACUGAGGCUUGGGGAGAAGAGUCUUGUCCAAUGCCACACGGGCAG
Molecule: long non-coding RNA, 682 nt
Filed under: Equus caballus (horse)
Lineage: Eukaryota; Metazoa; Chordata; Mammalia; Perissodactyla; Equidae
Description: lncRNA (ENSECAG00000033279.3)
Source: RNAcentral